AGAACGAACGCUGGCGGCAGGCUUAACACAUGCAAGUCGAGCGCCCCGCAAGGGGAGCGGCAGACGGGUGAGUAACGCGUGGGAAUCUACCCAUCACUACGGAACAACUCCGGGAAACUGGAGCUAAUACCGUAUACGUCCUUCGGAGAAGAUUAUCGGUGAUGGAUGAGCCCGCGUUGGAUUAGCUAGUUGGUGGGGUAAUGGCCUACCAAGGCGACGAUCCAUAGCUGGUCUGAGAGGAUGAUCAGCCACAUUGGGACUGAGACACGGCCAAACUCCUACGGGAGGCAGCAGUGGGAAUAUUGGACAAUGGGCGAAAGCCUGAUCCAGCCAUGCCGCGUGAGUGAUGAAGGCCCUAGGGUGUAAGCUUCUUCACGGUAGAAGGUAAUAGACGGUAACCGUAGAAGAACGCCCGACGUAACUCGU
Molecule: ribosomal RNA, 426 nt
Filed under: uncultured soil bacterium
Lineage: Bacteria
Description: bacterial SSU rRNA
Rfam family: Bacterial small subunit ribosomal RNA
Source: RNAcentral